RNAcentral lists this ribosomal RNA (492 nucleotides) under uncultured bacterium. Its description in RNAcentral is "partial 16S ribosomal RNA". It matches the Rfam family "Bacterial small subunit ribosomal RNA", at positions 29 to 507 of the family's 1533-position model. The record is from RNAcentral.
AGUGAACGCUGGCGGUAGGCCUAACACAUGCAAGUCGAACGGCAGCACAGUAAGAGCUUGCUCUUACGGGUGGCGAGUGGCGGACGGGUGAGGAAUACAUCGGACUCUACUUUUUCGUGGGGGAUAACGUAGGGAAACUUACGCUAAUACCGCAUACGACCUACGGGUGAAAGCAGGGGAUCUUCGGACCUUGCGCGAUUGAAUGAGCCGAUGUCGGAUUAGCUAGUUGGGGGGGUAAAGGCCCACCAAGGCGACGAUCCGUAGCUGGUCUGAGAGGAUGAUCGGCGACACUGGAACUGAGACACGGUCCAUACUCCUACGGGAGGCAGCAGUGGGGAAUAUUGGACAAUGGGCGCAAGCCUUAUCCAGCCAGCCCGCGUGUGUGAAGAAGGCGUUCGGUUUGUAAAGCCCUUUUGUUGGGAAAGAACAGCAGCAGGUUAAUACCACGCUGUUCUGACGGUACCCAAAGAAUAAGCACCGGCUAACUUCGUG